This is a long non-coding RNA of Drosophila simulans, 1038 nucleotides long. RefSeq lists it as uncharacterized. The record is from RefSeq and is a predicted model, not a curated record. Lineage: Eukaryota; Metazoa; Arthropoda; Insecta; Diptera; Drosophilidae. The transcript is spliced from 3 exons.
AAUCGAUUAUCAUUCGAUAGCACAACAUGUUAUUGCGCUCCUACAGCACAUUUAAGGGAAAUACAAGUGGAAUGCCGAAAAAAUACAAAUCCAAGUGUUUUCAGAAAUAUAAUGGAAAAAUGCAGAGUUUGCUUGCUAAAAUACCAAAACAUGGUCAAUUUUUAAGCAAUCUGUGGAGCGUGAGAUUUCCUUGGCUGAUAUGAUUGCGCAGUCCACCGGCUUUUCAGUUCAAAAAGGAGACCCAUUUUCCGAAUUUAUUUGUGCAUCCUCGUCCGUGGGAUCACAGUCAGCACAGUGCCAGGAGUAGCCGCGAAUCUUGGGCGACUUCUUGAGCGGCGGAUCGAGGCAGGCGAAGUGGUAGUGCCGGUGGCACUCGUCGCAGGUCACCACCUGGUUGGACUUGCCCGUCUGGCUGCACACGCAGCAGCUGAUUUCCACAGUAGGCUUGGCGUUGGACACCCGUGGUCGACCCACACGUGGCUUCCGGGGACUUGCCUUUCGUGGACUGACCUUUCUUUUAGGUGAUGGUGUGGGGUUGACGGAAGCGCUGGCCGCAGUCUCCUUGGGCUCCCGAACCUUUUGCGGCGACGCUGCCGGCAGCACGAUGGGUGCCAAGGCUUGCUCCGCUCCCUGGACGCUGUCCUCGACUGUUUCAACUGAGGUGGGGCGCGAGGCUUCGUCCACGGAGCGCACCGCAUUGGCCGGCACGUAGAAGUAUUGAGACUCGGGCGCAUCCUCGCCGGGUAAACGCAGAGCCUUGAAUAUAAUCUUAAUGGUGCUGCCCGAGUUGUUGCCCACGGUAUCCAAGUGGGUGGAAGACUCGUCGAGGUGGGCACGCUUUUUUCGCUUCCGUUUAUGCUCCUUGCCGAUGGAUUUCUCUGUGUCCGAAGACAGGUUGUGUUUGUUUUUGUGCUUGUCCUUGCGCUUACCCUUUCGCGAUAAUUUUCCACUGGAGUCGUCAAUCGAGUCCUCGCAGCCAGAUAGGUUAAUGACGAUAGUAUUAGGCGUGGGCAGAGUUGGAGCUGCCGCAGGAGUAGC